AGAGCACAGGGGGAAUGCCCUGGCACUGAGAGCCGAAGAAGGACGUGACAAGCUGCGAAAAGCCGCGGGUAGGCGCAAAUAGCCGAAGAACCGUGGAUGUCCGAAUGGGGAAACCCGGCAACCAGGAAACGGUUGUCACCGUUAAGUGAAUCCAUAGCUUAACGGGGGGAGACGAGGGGAACUGAAACAUCUAAGUACCCUCAGGAAGAGAAAACAAAAGUGAUUCCGCAAGUAGUGGCGAGCGAACGCGGAAGAGCCCAAACCGCCCUGCAGAAAUGGAGAGCGGGGUAAGGACCAGCGGAAUUGAGAGAGGAACGAGGAGAAGAGCGGAUUGAAAGCCGCCGCCGAAGAGGGUGAUAGCCCCGUAACCGAAGGGAAUCGAACAAGGCUGGAGUCCGGAGUACCACGAGACACGAGGAAUCUAGUGGGAAAGAGGGAGGACCACCUCCCAAGGCUAAAUACUACUCAGUGACCGAUAGAGGAAAGUACCGUGAGGGAAAGGUGAAAAGAACCCCGGGAGGGGAGUGAAAGAGAAUCUGAAACCCUGUGUUUACAAGCAGUCAGAGGGCAUUAAAGCCCGAUGGCGUACUUUUUGUAGAACGGUCCGGCGAGUUAUUGUACGUGGCGAGGUUAAGUACUAAAGGUACGGAGCCGAAGCGAAAGCGAGUCUGAAUAGGGCGCGAAGUCACGUGUAAUAGACCCGAAACCGGGUGACCUACCCAUGGACAGGUUGAAGCCUGAGUAAAAUCAGGUGGAGGACCGAACAGGUGUCUGUUGAAAAAGGCUCUGAUGAGCUGUGGGUAGCGGAGAAAUUCCAAACGAACUCGGAGAUAGCUGGUUCUCCCCGAAAUAGCUUUAGGGCUAGCCUCGGAUUAUUCUAAUGGAGGUAAAGCACUGAAUGGGCUAGGGGCCUUACCAGGUUACCGAACCCUAUCAAACUAAGAAUGCCAUAUAGAAGAUGUCCGGGAGUCAGACUGCGAGAGAUAAGUCCCGUAGUCGAAAGGGAAACAGCCCAGACCGCCAGCUAAGGUCCCAAAGUGAUGGUUAAGUGGAAAAGGAUGUGGGUUUGCUAAGACAGCUAGGAUGUUGGCUUAGAAGCAGCCACUCAUUCAAAGAGUGCGUAAUAGCUCACUAGUCGAGUGAGCCUGCGCCGAAGAUGUACGGGGCUAAACCAUCCACCGAAGCUGCGGAAUGUCGAAUGACAUUGGUAGGGGAGCGUAGUGUAGUAGAGAGAAGCAUGACGGGAACGACAUGUGGACGAGGCAGUAGUGAGAAUGCCGGAAUGAGUAGCGAGAGUGAAGUGAGAAUCUUUACCGUCGAAAACCCAAGGUUUCCUGGGGAAGGUUCGUCCGCCCAGGGUAAGUCGGGGCCUAAGCUGAGGCCGAGAGGCGUAGGUGAUGGAUAACAGGCGGAAAUUCCUGUACCGACGGUACACGUAUAAGAGAAGCGGGGACACAGGAGGAUAAGUGGAUCCGGCAGCAGGGAAAGCCGGAGUAAAGGAAGUAGAUAGAGACGUAGUGAAGUACGCGUCUUGUUUCGAAGGCCUGACGCGGAGCUCAAAUGGGAGCGAAGCCACAGAUUCCACACUGGCGAGAAAAGCCGCUAUUUAGUGUACAGUCGCCCGUACCGUAAACCGACACAGGUAGGUGAGGAGAGAAUCCUGAGACGAUCGGGAGAAGUGUUGUUAAGGAACUCGGCAAAUUAACCCCGUAAGUUAGCGAUAAGGGGAGCCUAGAGAUAGGCCGCAGAGAAAUGGCCCAAGCAACUGUUUACCAAAAACACAGGUCUCUGCUAAAUCGAAAGAUGAAGUAUAGGGGCUGACGCCUGCCCGGUGCUGGAAGGUUACGGGAAUCUGUAAGCGCAAGCGAAGCAGUGAACUUAAGCCCCAGUAAACGGCGGCCGUAACUAUAACGGUCCUAAGGUAGCGAAAUUCCUUGUCAGGUAAGUUCUGACCCGCACGAAUGGCGUAAUGAUUUGGGCACUGUCUCAACAGCACACCCGGUGAAAUUGUAGUACUUGUAAAGAUGCAAGUUACCCGCGAUUAGACGGAAAGACCCCAUGGAGCUUCACUGCAGGCUGAUAUUGGGUUCCGGUAUUUUCUGUACAGGAUAGGUGGGAGACAGAGAAGUAUGCACGCCAGUGCAUAUGGAGUCGACGUUGGGAUACCACUCUGAGAAUACUGGAGCUCUAACCU
RNAcentral lists this ribosomal RNA (2194 nucleotides) under human gut metagenome. Its description in RNAcentral is "bacterial LSU rRNA". It matches the Rfam family "Bacterial large subunit ribosomal RNA", at positions 14 to 2228 of the family's 2925-position model. The record is from RNAcentral.